UACGUAUGAUGCAAGUGUUAUCCGGAUUUACUGGGUGUAAAGGGAGCGCAGGCGGCACGGCAAGCCUGAUGUGAAAGCCCGCGGCCCAACCGCGGGACUGCAUUGGGAACUACCGGGCUGGAGUGCCGGAGAGGUAGGCGGAAUUCCUAGUGUAGCGGUGAAAUGCGUAGAUAUUAGGAGGAACACCAGUGGCGAAGGCGGCCUACUGGACGGUGACUGACGCUGAGGCUCGAAAGCGUGGGGAGCAAACAGG
RNAcentral lists this ribosomal RNA (253 nucleotides) under uncultured bacterium. RNAcentral describes it as "partial 16S ribosomal RNA". It matches the Rfam family "Bacterial small subunit ribosomal RNA", at positions 524 to 776 of the family's 1533-position model. The record is from RNAcentral.